Molecule: RNA transcript, 6919 nt
Organism: Chenopodium quinoa (quinoa)
Lineage: Eukaryota; Viridiplantae; Streptophyta; Magnoliopsida; Caryophyllales; Amaranthaceae
Gene name: serine/threonine-protein kinase prpf4B-like
Exons: 15
Source: RefSeq, a predicted model, not a curated record
ACACGUGACAUAUAACUUAUAAAAACUGAUCACCAGGUAAUGGAUCUUUAAAUUAAGAUGGUAUAUAAAGGUUGAAUUUUUGUGGAAUAAACUUAAGGUUGAAUUUUUUUAGAGAAAAAAGUGCAAAGAUUGGAUUUUUAAUUUCUAUUUUUCCAAAUUAAAAAGAAUAAAAAAAAAAAAAAAAAAAAACUCUAAUUAUCAAUAUUCCCAAACACGGCAUUUAUAUACUCGUAUGAGUCGUAUCUAACUAUUGUUAUUCAUCUCGCAAUCAAUCCAAACAAUUCCUUUUCCCCCAUUCCUUCAACUUGCGAAAUCUGUCCCGAACCCUAAUUCUCCCAAACCCAAAUCGAAACCCUAGAAAUUCCUCCAUUAAUGGCGAGCGAUUCCCAUGAUUCUCAUCGAAAGCACAGCCGUUCUUCCUCCAAUGACGAUUCGCCGGAGAAAUCGAAGCGCCACAAGCACCGCCAUCACCGCCACCACCGCCGCCAUCGCCACCACCACCGCCAUAGCAGCUCGAAGCAUGGAGAUGCGAAGAAAGAUGAAAUUGAGGUUGUGAAUAGAGAGGAAGUAGUUGAAGAGGUGACGAAACCAGCUCCUCUUGUUGAUUAUGAUGAUAUGGAGGAAGGUGAGAUUGUUGAUGAUGAAGGUGUUCCUGGUGCUGAAGUCGAUUCUUUCGAUAAGAAGGUUGGGUCCGAUGUCGAAUCAGGUGAAUUUAAGGCCGGUGAUGAUUCUUACAUGAGUGUUGAUACUGAUUUAGAAAAUCCUGAAAGCAAUCAUAAUGUGACGCGGAAUGAUAAAAGUGGGAAGUCUAAGAAGUAUUUGAAGUCUCCUAGAAGUGAUCGCAGUGGUAGUGAGGGCAAGGAAGACGGGAGUCACUCUCAUCAUGACGAAUUUCCUGUGUCAGAUAGGGUGGCUAAUGGUGAUCUUACUCGCAGGUCUAGAAAGGGAGAAUCUAGGUCACAUACAGGACAUGAGUCUCCUUUAAAAGAAAGAAGCAAGGAGAAGGACCAUGUAAGGACCAAAAGCAAACAUGCCUUGGAAUUAAUGGAGGUGGAUGAAGAUGAUCUUAGAGGUAGAAGAGAUUCAUAUUCUCUUAAGGUUAGGGAUGACCGCCAUGAAGCAAGGUAUCGCUCCCCUUCUCAUGGAAGGUACCAUCUAGAGACUAGUGAUAGGAGCAGGUCUAAAUCUCCUGAUCGCAAGAAGGAAAGGGAACGUUCGCAGAGCAUUGCGCACGAGAGGUAUUCAAAAACAAGGCAUCACAAUGAAAGAGAUGAAAAGCUAUAUGAUAAUGGCAAGGUUGGUUAUGAGAUGGAUGGUGAAAAGGAUAGUCGUGCAGGUAAAGAUUACAGAUCUAAUGGUGGAGAAAAGGUUAAGGAUAAAGGAGGAGAGAGAAGUUCCAGCUAUCACAGGUCUAGUUUGCAUGAAGGAAAGCAUGAAGAUGGUGAUUCUAAGGACAAUGAGACAGAGGAGAAGAUGUACCGGGAUAAGAAACGAGUGGAGCCAGAGCCAAUAAAAGAGAGGAGCGAAAGGGAUCGUGAUAGGAUCCGGAGCAGAGAUUAUGAACGGGAGAGGGAUUUUGUGAGGGACAGAGAGAUUCAUAGAGAGGUAAAGAAUGAUAUUGAUCGGAAUAGAGAUCGUGGUGGGAGCAGGGACAGGGACCAAGAAAGGGAUAGAGAAAGAGAAAGGAGAAGGGAGAAAGAUCGUGGAAGGAGUCGGGACAGGGACCUUGGCAGGGAAAGGAGGAGAGAUGAUAGCACAUCCAUGUAUAAAGAUAGAGAUGCUGAGAGAGAACGUGAUAAGGAAAGGGACAGGUCUCGAAAGUCGGAGAUGGAUAGGGGAAGAGACAGAUAUAGUGGCAGCGAUAGACAUAGAGACAAGGCUAGAGAUGAUGAGGAUGAUAGGAGCAGUAGAUACCAUAAAUUUGAUGACCGUGAUGAUGUAUACAGUAAUCGUGAUAGGCGCCGUGGUUAUGAUGAAGCAGAAUAUUUCAAGGACCGAAAGAUGAAGCAUGAUCCAUAUGAAGAUAAGGCCACUAAAGAUGAUUCUCUGAAGGAAAAUGAAGAUGCAAUGAAUGGGGAUGAUGAUGACAAGGAUACGCUAGAGUUGAAGCCUGCAGAGCCUGAAGAGGAUGAUAUCGACAGAAUCAAGGAGGAGAGUAGAAGGCGAAGAGAAGCCAUUCUUCAAAAAUAUAAAGCUAAACAAUCGCAGCAGCAGCAGGCUGUGCCUCAAGUCUCUAAAGAUGAGGAACUGACGAAGCAGCCUUCCCUUAAGUUGUCUUCUGCAAGCACUGGUCAAAAAGAAAAUAAUGGUGCUAAGGGUGAUGCUAACAAGAAUUCUGUAGAUGAUACUUCCUUAUACUUGGGGAAAUCUGCUCCUGGAAAUGACUCAGCUGCUGCUGAAAGGAAUACUGUUAUGCUGGGGGAGGGUUCUCCUAAGAGUGAAAGGUCAAAUGAUAUGUUCUGUGAUGAUAUAUUUGGAGAUUCUCCUGCUGGAGUUCGUAAAAUGGGUAAGGGAGAUGGUCUGCCUCUUGAAAGGAGUGGUCUUAAUGAUAAUUGGGAUGAUCCAGAGGGAUAUUACAGUUUUCGAUUUGGUGAAGUACUUGAUAGUCGCUAUGAAAUCACGGCAGCACAUGGUAAAGGUGUAUUUUCCACUGUUGUUCGUGCAAAGGAUCUUAAAGCUGGAAGUGGGGAUCCAGAGGAAGUGGCUAUCAAAAUAAUUCGAAAUAAUGAAACUAUGUUAAAAGCAGGGACAGAAGAGCUAGUGAUUUUGAAGAAGCUAGUUGGUGCAGAUCCCGAUGAUCGCCGACAUUGUGUUCGUUAUCUUUCAAAUUUCAAGUACCGUAAUCAUCUCUGUAUAGUUUUUGAAUCUCUUCAUAUGAAUCUGCGUGAGGUUCUAAAGAAGUUUGGUCGUAAUAUUGGCCUUAAGCUUACUGCUGUGAGGACCUAUGCGAAGCAAUUGUUUAUUGCGUUGAAGCAUCUUAGAAAUUGCGGAGUUCUACAUUGUGACAUUAAACCAGAUAAUAUGCUGGUCAAUGAAUCUAAAAAUGUGCUGAAGCUUUGUGACUUUGGAAAUGCAAUGUUCGCUGGUAAAAAUGAAAUCACGCCGUACCUUGUGAGCCGUUUUUAUCGUGCACCUGAGAUUAUUCUCGGCUUGACCUAUGACCACCCCAUGGACAUUUGGUCAGUUGGUUGCUGUUUAUAUGAGUUGUAUACUGGAAAGGUUCUCUUUCCAGGCCCCUCAAACAAUGAUAUGCUUCGUCUUCACAUGGAAUUGAAGGGUCCUUUCCCAAAGAAGAUGCUUCGCAAGGGAGCUUUCAUUGAGCAACAUUUUGACCAGGAUUUAAAUUUUCUUGCGUUAGAAGAAGAUCCUGUCACUAAGAAGACUCUUAGGAAGGUGAUCGUUAAUAUUAAGCCAAAAGAUGUUGGUAACAUCAUUAGGGGUUUUUCUGGUGAAGAUCCAAAAAUGUUAGCCAACUUCAAGGAUCUGCUGGAAAAAAUAUUUGUCCUAGAUCCAGAUAAAAGGCUAACUGUUUCACAAGCUUUGAAUCACCCAUUUAUUACGGCAAGUGAAUUCAGAUGCUGAUUUUCUGACUCCACAAAUGCUGUAGCUCUAGAUUUUUGUAUAUUACGGUCUUAGUUUAUAUCACACUCUAAUCAUUGGGAAUUUACUGUCUAUCUUUUAUGCACUACUGUGGGCCUGAUUGGGGGAGAUUGAUUCUGGCGUCAUUCAAGUUGGACUCAGAAGGCUGAUAUCUGUUGGGAGGUACUGGCAGUUCUCAAUGGAAUGUGUUCUGUUUCUAUUGGAUUUUCCAGUUCUUGGGGGAACCCUCCAAUCUUUAUAUGCCUAGAAGGAACCAUGGAGAAGGUACCUUUGUUGUUUACUGGGAUCGUUACUUUGAUACCCUUGUUAGUUUGACUCAUGAGCUAGUCAUGGAUUGCCCUUGUUAAUAAACCUGAAGAUUGAAUUUAUUUGUUACAUGAAAAUUAUUUCGUGACAGUUUUGUGUUUUGCUUAAGUGGCCUAACACCCCAAAAUAGCUCAUCUGAUUUCUCUAUUGUUAAGUUUCAUUGUGCAUUUUAUUUUCUUGGCUUUGUUAUUUUCGUCGAGAUUAUGAUUCCUUUUUCAUUCUUUUUUCCCUCUUCAUGUCUGUAUUGUUCUAAUGAAUGUACUACAUCUGCUUUAUGGCUGGUCAUUAUGGAGGCUUUGGCUUUGAAGAUGUCUGGUGCUGCUGCUUGGAAAUUUUUGCAGGAAAUGAUCCUUGCUCCUGCAACACUCUUUGCCGGGGCGUUCUAGGCUUUGGAUUUCUUCUUUUUUUUGUUGUACUACGUGUAUGAUACUUCUGCAGGGUCUAGGAGAAGCCGAGAAGCACUGCUGUGGCAAAUACCCUGAAUAUCUUGUGAUUGUUGUUUUUUUUGUUAGUAACUUUGUGGGUUCUUUGCUUGGUUUAGAUUGUGGAUUGAAAUUUUGGUUAAGAUAUAUUUUUGCCCCAUGUUUUGGUAUGCUUUGAGUUUUGCCAAGGAGGAUAAUGAUAUAAUUUAGUCAGACGUGUGUUAUGUUUGAGCUGGUGACCCACUAUCUUCCUGCUAGUUUUCAUUCUGAACUUAGAUACCAUAGUUCAUUAGUUUUGGACUGUUGAUAUUUUUUAACCAUUGAAGGCAAAAGAGAUUUUUAAUUUCAAAAUCUUGGGUGUGUGUGUUUGUCUGUUGUCUAUGUGUGCAUUCCAUGAAAUUGGAUAACUUGAUUAUUUUGAUCUGUAAAAAUAGAACCAAGUGUUCAGAAUGUUACAGCAUUCUAGUAGACUGGAAUUCUAGUAGACUAUUGGUAAAAAGAAAACCAAGUUGGCAGCAUGUUAGUCAAGGUAUAACAUAUCUUUAUCUGACCUAAGCUUGUAGAUUCUUCUUUUGAAUAUGUAUUGUGCUGUAGAAGUGGUUGGCAUAGAACAGCUGCUACUAUGAAAUCUUUUGUUUUUAGUGUACAAGCUCUAAUAUGGAAUAUUGACUUGUGCAUAUGGUGUUGUGAAGGCACCACCAUACGAAAUAGAGUAGAACAAGGAAAAUAACUGAAGCUCUGGAACUAUAUGUUUAGAAUUGGUUGUAGUAAAAAUGUUUUCAGUGAUGCAUGUUGACUGAGUUGGUGGGGGUCCUGUGUUCAGUUCUAAUUUUCAUACUGUUAGAGGAAUAUUGCUAAGGGCUUUGGGCCUUUAUUUAUUUAUUUAUUAGAUAAGUAAUUUUCUAUUAAUCCAUUUAAGUAUAUAAGUAAUUUCAGUCAAUGAAAUACAGCUGUUAUUAGUAAAUAAUUAGUUUAAUUAAGUGAAAAGUUAUAAUCAGCAAUUUUAGCAACUUGAACUAUCAAUGAAGGAUGUAUUAGUUACUUGUGGUGUAAAAGGAGAAACUGUAUUUCUUUAUAGAGGAAUACUAGGUUAAGUCCCGUGCCAUGCACGGUCAUAAUUAAAUUUUACAAUAAAUAAAUAAUAAAUAUGGUGUUAAUUCAACAAUAAUUUAUCCAAAAAAAUUAUUUGUAACAAAAUAACUUAAAUUAAAUGUAAAGAUUAUUAGAUUGGAUUGUAUAAAAAAAAUAUAGUAAUAGAAACUUAGAAGAUAAAAGGUUUUAUAUAAGAAAAUUAAAUUAUUAGCUAUAUUUAGUCCUAAGGGAAGUAGUAUUAAUCAUAUGCAUUUGUCCUUAAAUUUGACACACUUUGAUCGGCAUAAUAUGAAAAUUUAUUUGAGUUCAUUUUACUUUAGGAUAAUUAGAAUUCUGUAAUCAACUUUUUAAAUAUAUUUUUAGUGAGUAGUAGGUUAUUUUUUUUAAAUAAAAAAAAUAAUCACAUAAAUGUUUAGAACAAUUAGAUUUAAUUUUCCAAUAUAUAUUAUGUACAAAGUAUACUAUAACAAAAUUAUUUUGUUCUUAUAAACGUUAUGUAUAGUUUUAAGAUUAAUACUCCGUACAAAAUAUGCUACCAAAAUGAUUUUUCUGUAAAAUUGAUAUUGAUAAUAUUAUAAUAAUCUUGGAAAACGAUAUAUAUUCCAAUACCUUAUUUUUUUAAAUCUAUGUUAGUAUUUUGUAAUUAAAAGUUUCCUAGUAUGUAGAGAAUAUUUGUAAAUAAAUAUUAAUUGAGUAAUACUGGAUUAAAUAUGUUGUCAAAAUAGAAAUGACAAUUAUUAUAGGUUAUAAAAUAUAUAGAUGUCAUUAAAAUAUGGCAAAAAAAUUAAAAAGGAAAGAAAAAAAAAGGCGGGAAAAUUUUUGACCAGGAAAUGACAAGUGUCAUUCCUGGUUUCAUCUUUAGUAUAAGUUUAUUGAUAAAAGGUAGUAGUUUCACAUUUUAUAUUCGUGGAAUUAUCCAUCAUAAUCUUUUUUCUUUCUUUUUUUUUCUUUUUCUUUUUUAGAAACAAUAUCAUAUUCUAUUUAUUUAUUCUUCGUAUAUUUAUUUUUAUUUAAUUAAUUUUUAUCAUGUAGCCGACCCCAUUUGUGGGAUAAAAGGCUUUGAUUAAUUGAUUUGAUUUUAUGAUUUUUUUUUUCAUUGUUUUUUUUGUAAAUAUUUCUUAUUAUUAAAUUGUCACUCAAUUAAGCACAGGUCAUUUCAGAGAUAAGAAAACUCUUCUUUAGAGUAGUGUUUUAGAGUAAUGGUCGUAUAUAUUUAAAUUUUCUACUUAUAUUGAAAAUUUCUACCUUUGCCAAUCUUCAAUGGCCUGCAAUCAUGCUUGGCUGAACACUAGAUGCUUGUGAGAGUUUUAGCAAGUGGUAAUAUCUUUGUGUCUUCUGAUUGUGCCAUUUGUUCGGGCCAUUUGUUCAUUUUUUAUUAUAACUUGAAGGUUUUGGUAUAUUUUAGAAGUACUGAUUGUAACAUACAAACAUAUGGAUUCCUGGAGUGAUUGUUAUAGAAAAUAAUGAAAGUUACAUUCUUUUGAGUUCUUAAUCCUGAA